GCAAUGCCGCGUGCAGGAUGAAGGCCUUCGGGUUGUAAACUGCUUUUGUACGGAACGAAAAAGCUUCUCCUAAUACGAGAGGCCCAUGACGGUACCGUAAGAAUAAGCACCGGCUAACUACGUGCCAGCAGCCGCGGUAAUACGUAGGGUGCGAGCGUUAAUCGGAAUUACUGGGCGUAAAGCGUGCGCAGGCGGUUAUGUAAGACAGAUGUGAAAUCCCCGGGCUCAACCUGGGAACUGCAUUUGUGACUGCAUGGCUAGAGUACGGUAGAGGGGGAUGGAAUUCCGCGUGUAGCAGUGAAAUGCGUAGAUAUGCGGAGGAACACCGAUGGCGAAGGCAAUCCCCUGGACCUGUACUGACGCUCAUGCACGAAAGCGUGGGGAGCAAACAGGAUUAGAUACCCUGGUAGUCCACGCCCUAAACGAUGUCAACUGGUUGUUGGGAAUUAGUUUUCUCAGUAACGAAGCUAACGCGUGAAGUUGACCGCCUGGGGAGUACGGCCGCAAGGUUGAAACUCA
This 519-nucleotide ribosomal RNA is filed under the name Delftia sp. MPP_1. RNAcentral describes it as "bacterial SSU rRNA". It matches the Rfam family "Bacterial small subunit ribosomal RNA", at positions 391 to 903 of the family's 1533-position model. Lineage: Bacteria; Pseudomonadati; Pseudomonadota; Betaproteobacteria; Burkholderiales; Comamonadaceae. The record is from RNAcentral.